This 662-nucleotide long non-coding RNA is filed under the name Equus asinus (donkey). Its description in RNAcentral is "lncRNA (ENSEASG00005028805.1)". The record is from RNAcentral. Lineage: Eukaryota; Metazoa; Chordata; Mammalia; Perissodactyla; Equidae.
CAGGUCUGGAGCCCGGGUGCGUUGGAGCAGGCCAGGUACCCAAGCCCACAGUGUUGGGCCUGGGGCCUGGGGCCUGUGUCUACUUGGGUGGACCCGGGUCUGGAUUAGCAAGAACUGACUAGGCACCAGGGACAACUGCAGUGGGACUGGUGACUGGGUGCUUUAAUCUCUCACCCGGAAUCCUUGGCUCUUGUGAAGGCAUUUUCAUGAGUGGAUCAUUCAUCAGAUUGCUGUUUCUGCAAAGGGAUGACUGCUAGAAACUCUUACUCAACCAUCUUGCUGAUAUUGCUCCAAGAAUUCAGUUUUGAAUUAAAACUAAUGCUGAGAAAUAUGGGAGAAAAUGGAAAUCAGCGAUAGAGACAGACAAGGAAAGGCCAGUGAGCACAGAAAGAAAACAUGUACUGGCGUGUGAGGAGUUGUCAGGUUGCCCAAGACACCAGGCAGCCUCCACCCAGCUUGACCUCCAUCUGAGCGUGACUGAGGCCUGUGGGUGCAGGGGAGCCCCUUCCCUGGGCUGGAGAUCCUCUGCCUUCGCAUGCUGGACACAAAGGACGGCUCCUUCAUCUUCACUUCCUCCCAAUCCGAAGACUUGGAAUUCCUAGAACACACCAAGAAAGGUGAGGCUUUCUUUCUCUUCACAUACUGUUUGGGUCACCCCUCAC